This 466-nucleotide ribosomal RNA is filed under the name uncultured bacterium. Its description in RNAcentral is "partial 16S ribosomal RNA". It matches the Rfam family "Bacterial small subunit ribosomal RNA", at positions 29 to 506 of the family's 1533-position model. The record is from RNAcentral.
ACGAACGCUGGCGGCGUGCUUAACACAUGCAAGUCGAACGGAAAGGCCCUGCUUUUGUGGGGUGCUCGAGUGGCGAACGGGUGAGUAACACGUGAGUAACCUGCCCUUGACUUUGGGAUAACUUCAGGAAACUGGGGCUAAUACCGGAUAGGAGCUCCUGCUGCAUGGUGGGGGUUGGAAAGUUUCGGCGGUUGGGGAUGGACUCGCGGCUUAUCAGCUUGUUGGUGGGGUAGUGGCUUACCAAGGCUUUGACGGGUAGCCGGCCUGAGAGGGUGACCGGCCACAUUGGGACUGAGAUACGGCCCAGACUCCUACGGGAGGCAGCAGUGGGGAAUAUUGCACAAUGGGCGGAAGCCUGAUGCAGCAACGCUGCGUGCGGGAUGACGGCCUUCGGGUUGUAAACCGCUUUCGCCUGUGACGAAGCGUGAGUGACGGUAAUGGGUAAAGAAGCACCGGCUAACUACGU